UACGAAGGGUGCAAGCGUUACUCGGAAUUACUGGGCGUAAAGCGUGCGUAGGUGGUGAGUUAAGUCUGAUGUGAAAUCCCCGGGCUCAACCUGGGAAUGGCAUUUGGGACUGCAAGGCUGGAGUGCGGCAGAGGAGACUGGAAUUCCUGGUGUAGCAGUGAAAUGCGUAGAUAUCAGGAGGAAUACCGAUGGCGAAGGCAGGUCUCUGGGCUGACACUGACGCUCAUGCACGAAAGCGUGGGGAGCAAACAGG
This 253-nucleotide ribosomal RNA is filed under the name uncultured bacterium. Its description in RNAcentral is "partial 16S ribosomal RNA". It matches the Rfam family "Bacterial small subunit ribosomal RNA", at positions 524 to 776 of the family's 1533-position model. The record is from RNAcentral.